Hevea brasiliensis (rubber tree) is the source of this 847-nucleotide RNA transcript. It is a transcript of the gene named protein NUCLEAR FUSION DEFECTIVE 6, mitochondrial, with no coding region annotated. The record is from RefSeq and is a predicted model, not a curated record. The transcript is spliced from 4 exons. NCBI's taxonomy places the organism in Eukaryota, Viridiplantae, Streptophyta, Magnoliopsida, Malpighiales, Euphorbiaceae.
AUUAGAUUCAGCUGCAAAACCCCAGCCCAAUGUGUACAGUCAAACCCCUGAACCCAAGCCAAGUUCUCGAUUGCUUCCACAACCCUACCCUAAGCAAUCCCAAUAGCCAUGUCCGCCACCGCAGCCGCCAGGUCUGUCCUGCGCUCCAACGUUAUCCGAACUGUCGGACUCACCUACGGGCCCAAACCCGGACCCGGAAGCAAACCAGCUUUCUCUCCAUUUCGCAUCUCCAGGCGAAGUUCCCCCCCUCAUCGCAUUUUGAGGUCACCAGUAGAGUUGAGCUGCUGUGUGGAGACGAUGCUUCCAUAUCACACUGCGACUGCUUCCGCGUUGCUUAAUUCAAUGCUUUCCGUCUCUCGCCGCAGCUAUGGUUGGACCCCUGAAGAUUGCAAUGAUGAUGUAUGAUGAAUGUCAGAGGAUUCGAGCAAAGUUUAUGUACAUGCACUCAAUAAGAAGAUGGAUGAUUGUUCAUUAUUUGGAUGCGGUGCAUUGGUCGUAAUUUUUCAUUGAUUUCAGUGGACUUUAGUCUUGCUCGAGAGAUUAUUCUCCUUGUGGAAUGGAAUGAGGCAAUCCAAAGGUUCUUCUGCAAACAUAUGCAAGUAGGUACCUUGUGGAAAUAGGUAUAUUUUGUAAUUUUCCAGCUGCUGAAAGUGGAUCAUUGCUGAAAUGGAUAUUUUUUGGUAAUCCUUCUCUCUCUCUCUCUCUCUCUCUCUCUCUCUCUCUCUCCCCAUUUUGUUCCACUGAUAAGUUGUAUUGCUGUAGCUCUGUUAGGCCAAAAACCACCAGAGCAACCCAAUGGGGUCUGAAGCUGAGAUUUCAAAUUAGAGAUAUUAUUAAGUCUUAGCCA